Small nuclear RNA from Trichosurus vulpecula (common brushtail), 108 nucleotides. NCBI's taxonomy places the organism in Eukaryota, Metazoa, Chordata, Mammalia, Diprotodontia, Phalangeridae. The record is from RefSeq and is a predicted model, not a curated record.
AUGCUUCCUUCAGCAGCACAUGUGUUAAAGUUGGAACGCUACAAAGAAGAUCGGCACGGCCGCUGCGCAAGAACGACGCGCAAAUUCAGGAAAGUGUUCCAUAACUGU